UAACGUUUACUGCUAACCCUGCUAACAACUACACCAAUAAUGGAUGGUUUGCAGCUGCUUUAACAAUAGAAGACUUCCCUGUGACCACAAUUAAUGUAAAUAGGAACUCAUACACAGCAUCGACCCCUUUGACACAAAUUCCACUGCAGUUUUUGAUUCAUACUGAAACUAUUCCUGGAUCUUGUAAUGAUAAACCGGUCUUUGUAUCACCUACACCUUCAGAUGGAACUGUAACUACACUAAAGGCUGCCAAUAGUUUUACUACAGAGUUUUAUGUUCAUGCAGAUUCAGGUGUAAAAUCCAUAGAUAUCAAUGGACCAUUAGGAAUACACAAAACGGCAUUAUCACUAGACGGACGUGGAAGGUCAAACGUCUGGUUGGUUGUUGUUCAUUGGACACCAACGCAAGCCGACCAGGGAACCCAUAUCAUAUGCGCCUCUGCAGAAGAC
Long non-coding RNA from Mytilus trossulus (common blue mussel), 449 nucleotides. RefSeq lists it as uncharacterized. The transcript is spliced from 3 exons. Lineage: Eukaryota; Metazoa; Mollusca; Bivalvia; Mytilida; Mytilidae. The record is from RefSeq and is a predicted model, not a curated record.